Molecule: long non-coding RNA, 264 nt
Filed under: Marmota monax (woodchuck)
Lineage: Eukaryota; Metazoa; Chordata; Mammalia; Rodentia; Sciuridae
Source: RNAcentral
UCAGGUGUGAGCAGAGGAGAGAAGGUAGAGCAGCAUCCUUCCUUCCUGAGUGUCCCGGAGGGAGACAGCGCUGUCAUUCACUGCACUUACACAGACAGUGCCUCCACUUACUUCUUUUGGUACAAGCAUGAGCCUGGAGCAGGUAUGCAGUUACUCAUGCAGAUUGUUUCAAAUAUGGAGAAGAAGCAAGACCAGAGACUCACUGUCGUCCUGAGUAAGAAGGACAAACAUCUCUCCCUGAACAUCACAGCAGCCAAUCCCAGG